AAUGGGUCAGCGACUUAUAUUCUGUAGCAAGGUUAACCGUAUAGGGGAGCCGUAGGGAAACCGAGUCUUAACCGGGCGUUAAGUUGCAGGGUAUAGACCCGAAACCCGGUGAUCUAGCCAUGGGCAGGUUGAAGGUUGGGUAACACUAACUGGAGGACCGAACCGACUAAUGUUGAAAAAUUAGCGGAUGACCUGUGGCUGGGGGUGAAAGGCCAAUCAAACCGGGAGAUAGCUGGUUCUCCCCGAAAGCUAUUUAGGUAGCGCCUCGUGAAUUCAUCUCCGGGGGUAGAGCACUGUUUCGGCUAGGGGGCCAUCCCGGCUUACCAACCCGAUGCAAACUGCGAAUACCGGAGAAUGUUAUCACGGGAGACACACGGCGGGUGCUAACGUCCGUCGUGAAGAGGGAAACAACCCAGACCGCCAGCUAAGGUCCCAAAGUCAUGGUUAAGUGGGAAACGAUGUGGGAAGGCCCAGACAGCCAGGAUGUUGGCUUAGAAGCAGCCAUCAUUUAAAGAAAGCGUAAUAGCUCACUGGUCGAGUCGGCCUGCGCGGAAGAUGUAACGGGGCUAAACCAUGCACCGAAGCUGCGGCAGCGACGCUGAUGCGUUGUUGGGUAGGGGAGCGUUCUGUAAGCCUGUGAAGGUGGCCUGUGAGGGUUGCUGGAGGUAUCAGAAGUGCGAAUGCUGACAUAAGUAACGAUAAAGCGGGUGAAAAGCCCGCUCGCCGGAAGACCAAGGGUUCCUGUCCAACGUUAAUCGGGGCAGGGUGAGUCGACCCCUAAGGCGAGGCCGAAAGGCGUAGUCGAUGGGAAACGGGUUAAUAUUCCCGUACUUGGUGUUACUGCGAAGGGGGGACGGAGAAGGCUAUGUUGGCCGGGCGACGGUUGUCCCGGUUUAAGCGUGUAGGUGUGUGUUCCAGGUAAAUCCGGUUCACUUUAACACUGAGGCGUGAUGACGAGGCACUACGGUGCUGAAGCAACAAAUGCCCUGCUUCCAGGAAAAGCCUCUAAGCAUCAGGUAACAUCAAAUCGUACCCCAAACCGACACAGGUGGUCAGGUAGAGAAUACCAAGGCGCUUGAGAGAACUCGGGUGAAGGAACUAGGCAAAAUGGUGCCGUAACUUCGGGAGAAGGCACGCUGACACGUAGGUGAAGUGAUUUACUCAUGGAGCUGAAGUCAGUCGAAGAUACCAGCUGGCUGCAACUGUUUAUUAAAAACACAGCACUGUGCAAACACGAAAGUGGACGUAUACGGUGUGACGCCUGCCCGGUGCCGGAAGGUUAAUUGAUGGGGUCAGCGCAAGCGAAGCUCCUGAUCGAAGCCCCGGUAAACGGCGGCCGUAACUAUAACGGUCCUAAGGUAGCGAAAUUCCUUGUCGGGUAAGUUCCGACCUGCACGAAUGGCGUAAUGAUGGCCAGGCUGUCUCCACCCGAGACUCAGUGAAAUUGAACUCGCUGUGAAGAUGCAGUGUACCCGCGGCAAGACGGAAAGACCCCGUGAACCUUUACUAUAGCUUGACACUGAACAUUGAGCCUUGAUGUGUAGGAUAGGUGGGAGGCUUUGAAGCGUGGACGCCAGUCUGCAUGGAGCCGGCCUUGAAAUACCACCCUUUAAUGUUUGAUGUUCUAACGUGGACCCGUGAUCCGGGUUGCGGACAGUGUCUGGUGGGUAGUUUGACUGGGGCGGUCUCCUCCUAAAGAGUAACGGAGGAGCACGAAGGUUGGCUAAUCCUGGUCGGACAUCAGGAGGUUAGUGCAAUGGCAUAAGCCAGCUUGACUGCGAGCGUGACGGCGCGAGCAGGUGCGAAAGCAGGUCAUAGUGAUCCGGUGGUUCUGAAUGGAAGGGCCAUCGCUCAACGGAUAAAAGGUACUCCGGGGAUAACAGGCUGAUACCGCCCAAGAGUUCAUAUCGACGGCGGUGUUUGGCACCUCGAUGUCGGCUCAUCACAUCCUGGGGCUGAAGUAGGUCCCAAGGGUAUGGCUGUUCGCCAUUUAAAGUGGUACGCGAGCUGGGUUUAGAACGUCGUGAGACAGUUCGGUCCCUAUCUGCCGUGGGCGCUGGAGAACUGAGGGGGGCUGCUCCUA
Molecule: ribosomal RNA, 2083 nt
Filed under: Salmonella enterica
Lineage: Bacteria; Pseudomonadati; Pseudomonadota; Gammaproteobacteria; Enterobacterales; Enterobacteriaceae
Also listed under: 1 other name
Description: partial 23S ribosomal RNA
Rfam family: Bacterial large subunit ribosomal RNA
Source: RNAcentral